RNAcentral lists this long non-coding RNA (2196 nucleotides) under Panax ginseng (ginseng). RNAcentral describes it as "long non-coding RNA (PGIN_LNC015154)". The stretch from base 1460 to 1581 matches the Rfam family "MIR6135 microRNA precursor family". Lineage: Eukaryota; Viridiplantae; Streptophyta; Magnoliopsida; Apiales; Araliaceae. The record is from RNAcentral.
CAGAGAAGAAAAAAAAGUUGGGUAGAUUAAUUUGUUUUCUUCCUCCGAGUUGCACUAUAAAAGGGAGGUUACCCCUUCAUUAUAAACACACCAAAAUAUACAAGUGUUCCUACUGCAAUAUUGUGAGUAUUUAUUUUGAAUAUAAGAAUACUUUGAGUGUAAUUUAUAGUGCAAGAUUUUCUCAAGAUAAUAUCCGUUAUACCAAGUCAGAUCUAGUUUCUACUAAGGUAAAUGAUGUUAUUUUCUUUCAAUAUUCAUAAGGGAUAUUAUUUUCGUUCAAUAUUCGUAAGGAAUAUUAUUUUCUUUCAUACUCUAUAGUAUGUAAGUAAUAUUAUUUCGUUUCAUAUUCCUAAAUUUAAACUUACUAUGAUAAGUAUUGCUUCUAUAAUUUCUGAAAUGAUUAGAAAUUACUUGAGGUUUGCACUUCAUCUAAUAUUAUUUCACUGAAAUAUUGGUCUGAACUAUCUUAUUAAAUUUUAAUUUUUUUCAUGUCAGUGUACUAUUCAUCUGGGAUACUAUUCAUACCAGAGUACUAUUCAUUUGGGGUACCAUUCCUGGAUGAUAAGAAUGGUGAAGGAAAUAUGGCUUGGCAGUAUCAAGCUUGCCUCCAUUCGAAGGUUGUUGUUCUGUCAUGAUAAUAAGAAACAACAAAAACAAAAGUAAAGAGAGCAAAAGACUCGGGUAUCAUCCCCUGCUCGGACACCAUGUAAAGAAAAGGGAAAAAUAAUGUUUUUCGAUACUGUUAUUGAAUCAGAAGAUGUAGCUUUAUAUAAGAGAUUUCCUACAAUCAAGCUAAUCCAUUCUAGGUAGUUAUAAGAGAUUUACUACAAUCAUGCUAAUUGCUAAUCUAUUCUAUGUGGUUACAAGUAUAAAAGGUAACUGAACAAAUAUACUACUAAUAUAAUAUAUUUGUCAAUUAAUGAUCAGAUAUCAUUGUCUUUUCCCUCUCAACAGUGGGGGUGGUAGUAUGCGAUAAUGGGUGGUGGGGGUAGUGUCGUGGUGGCGGUGGGUGGUAUGCAUUGUAGUGAGAGAAGUGAAGUCAAGAAUUAAAAAAAUAAAAUUAUGAUUGUGAUGCAUGAUAAAAUAGUAAUGAGUAGCCUUUUUUUUUAAAAGAGUUGACUCAAUAUCUUUUUUUUUAAGAGAUAAAAAGAGGUUGUCAAAGUUUUUAUCAAACAACUUGCAUCUGCACGAAAAAAGAUGCAAGAUCAAAAGAAAGGUAACAAGAGACUAUCAAGCACUACCAAAUUGAAACAUGCAUGGAAUAUCUUAUUUGAAAAGUUUGACUCGCAAUUUUAGAAAUCAUGUGUAUGUAAUUGUAACAUCUCAUUUUCACAUCGAAAUAUAUGAGAAAAAAAAUUGUUUGUAUAUAAAAAAUUAAGUUACUAAUAAUAAUUUCAGUCAUGACUUUUUUGGUGAGCUAGUGGUGGACUUAGAUAACUCAAAAAGGGAAGUGGUUAGUAUGAAGUUUAUUUUGGGGUAAAUUGGUCAAUUGACCAAUAGAAUACUGACACGCAAGCGAUGUUGUAUGUGUGUCAGUAUGUUAUUUGCCAAUUGACCAACUUACCAAAAAAAUAACUUCAUGCUAACCGGAUCCCUCAAAAAGAUACUAUUAGGUUAGCGGUUUAAAGCCUUGUUUGGAUGAAUUUGAUUCGAUUCGGACUUGAAAUUUGACCAAAGAUUUGUUCCGGACUCGAGAUUUGACCUAAGUUAUUUAUAUAGUAUCAGAGUUGGGUCUCGAAAGCUCGGGUUGGGUUGUUCAAUCGAGUUAUAGGAGGAGGGAACAUGAAGGUUGUUGAUAAUAUUCCACAAUGGAAAAGAGGUAUGGAGUUGGGGACAAGAAACUAGCUGGUAUUCUCUCACAAUAGCUAAAAAGACAAAGAUCUAUGAACCGUUUAUAUGAUCAAUUCUGACGGGACGUCAAAAAUUUAAGUAGAGGACUGUGUAACACCCCAAUUCCAGAUUGCAAGCUAUGUAAAAAAUUAUUUGUAUAUAAGAAACUAAGUUGUUAACAAUAAUGCAUUCAGUCAUGACUUUUUGUAUGAGUAUGUGGUAGGUUAAGAUGUCCCAAGAAGAUAAUAUUGAGCUAAUAGUUUAAGGCAUUGUUUGGAUGAAUUUAAUUCGAUUUGGACUUAAAAUUUAAUCCAAUAUUUAUUUCAAAUUCAAGAUUUGGCCCGAAUUAUUUCAAUAAUUAUGUAA